RNAcentral lists this ribosomal RNA (501 nucleotides) under uncultured bacterium. RNAcentral describes it as "partial 16S ribosomal RNA". It matches the Rfam family "Bacterial small subunit ribosomal RNA", at positions 30 to 523 of the family's 1533-position model. The record is from RNAcentral.
AUUGAACGCUGGCGGCAGGCUUAACACAUGCAAGUCGAGCGGGGGAAGGUAGCUUGCUACCGGACCUAGCGGCGGACGGGUGAGUAAUGCUUAGGAAUCUGCCUAUUAGUGGGGGACAACAUCUCGAAAGGGAUGCUAAUACCGCAUACGUCCUACGGGAGAAAGCAGGGGAUCUUCGGACCUUGCGCUAAUAGAUGAGCCUAAGUCGGAUUAGCUAGUUGGUGGGGUAAAGGCCUACCAAGGCGACGAUCUGUAGCGGGUCUGAGAGGAUGAGCCGCCACACUGGGACUGGGACACGGCCCAGACUCCUACGGGAGGCAGCAGUGGGGAGUAUUGGACAAUGGGGGGAACCCUGAUCCAGCCAUGCCGCGUGUGUGAAGAAGGCCUUAUGGUUGUAAAGCACUUUAAGCGAGGAGGAGGCUACUCUAGUUAAUACCUAGGGAUAGUGGACGUUACUCGCAGAAUAAGCACCGGCUAACUCUGUGCCAGCCGCCGCCGUAA